GAAGUCUUUAAAAGUCUCUGCUAUACAUCGCUUGUAUGAUUGUUGGGGCUUAAAUAUGGUUGCAUGAGGCAAUUUUGACUUUUUCCAGUAUUCUUCAGAAGGAGAGCCACAUAGUUUAAAUAUCUUAUGUAAUUGUUCCACCUCAGUGCGACCAGGCAUGAUCGGCUUCCCAGCCAACAGCUCAGCAAGAAUGCAACCAGCACUCCAAAGGUCCACACCCACACCAUAGUCAGUGGCCCCAAGGAGCAGUUCAGGGGGUCGAUACCAUAAGGUAACUACCCUGCUAGUCAUGGGCUGCUUGUGAUUAGGAUCAAAAAAGGAAGCCAACCCAAAAUCAGCAAUUCUAAGGAUUCCAUCAUUGCCAAUAAGAAGAUUUGACCCCUUAAUAUCACGAUGCAGCACAUGGUGGUUGUGACAGUGUUCAAGGCCAGAUAACAACUGAUGCAUAUAACAUUU
This 456-nucleotide unclassified non-coding RNA is filed under the name Hevea brasiliensis (rubber tree). The record is from RNAcentral. Lineage: Eukaryota; Viridiplantae; Streptophyta; Magnoliopsida; Malpighiales; Euphorbiaceae.